AUGGAGAAGGAGAAGAAGCUGUCCUUCUCCAUCCCUUCCAAGCUAAGGCCGCCCAAGCCCCGCCCCGCCGCCGGCGCUGAUUCCUCCGCCGCUAGCGGCAACUCCGCUUCCGCGGCCGCUGCCCCCGCCCAGCAAUUCGUCACCGAGUUCGAUCCGUCGCAAACCCUAGCCGCCGGCGCCGCGUCCGCCGUCAUCGCGCCCCUCCCCAACUCCGGCCACUUCCUCAACCACCGCUCCCGCAAACCCUCCUCCCUCCCGACCCCCGAGGAGGAGGCCGCCCUCGCCGCCUCCACCGCCGGUGGCCCCACAUUCGUGCUCGACACCUCCGAGGCCCCGGACAAUCCCUCCUCCCACAUAGGGUAUGGCCUCACCCGACGCGGCGCCGAUGCCGACGCUGAGGCCGACGCCACGGAGCCGGGGAAGACGCAGUCUUCCAAGGAACCAGAGAAGAAGCCGACCUCUCCAGCCAGAGAUGGCGGCUCCAGCGGUGACCUUAUGCUGCGACGGUACAAGGAGGACAUGGCCAGCCUCCCCGACCACCGUGGUAUAGACGAGUUUGCGGAGGUGCCUGUGGAGGGCUUCGGUGCUGCCCUCCUUGCUGGUUACGGCUGGUCAGAAGGCAAAGGGCUCGGCCGCAAUAACAAGGAAGAUACCAAGGUUGUUGAGUAUAACCGCCGUGCCGGUACGCUGGGAUUAGGCUACGACCCUUCUGAGGCAGACCCUAAGAAGACUCGCUCUGGCGACUGGGUUAUUGGUGGAAAGAAGCCGACAGAGAAUGGUGGAAAGAAGUCCGCAGAGAAUGGAAAUGCAAAGAAGAGAGAUAGGGACAAGGAAGACAGAGUCCGGGAGAGGGAUUCAAGUGCCCGGCAGAAGAGAUCUGGUGAUCUUAGGGCUGAUAGGGUGGUUCGAGAGAAAGAGAGAAAUUCUCGGGAUAGUCGAGAAGAAAAGAGUAGCCGUGAUGUUGGUAACAAAGUGCGCUGGUUACAGAGCAAUAUUAGGGUUAGAGUUGUUAAUGAGAGGUUCAGCAGAAGGUUGUACCUGCAGAAGGCAAAAAUUGUUGAUGUGGUUGGACCAACGACAUGUGACAUAAUGAUGGAUGAUGGGUCAGAGCUUGUGCAGGGGGUGGAGCAGGAUAUGCUUGAAACGGUCCUGCCACGGACAAACGGGCAAGUGCUUGUGCUCUGUGGGAAGCACAAGGGUGUGUAUGGGCAUCUGGUAGAGAAGAAUUCAGAGGCAGAGACUGCAGUAGUGGAGGAUGCGGAUACAAAAGACAUGGUGCGUGUGAAAUAUGAUCAGAUUGCAGAGUACGUUGGGGACCCAGAAUUGCUUGGGCACUGA
RNAcentral lists this ribosomal RNA (1338 nucleotides) under Triticum aestivum (bread wheat). Its description in RNAcentral is "partial small subunit ribosomal RNA". The record is from RNAcentral. Lineage: Eukaryota; Viridiplantae; Streptophyta; Magnoliopsida; Poales; Poaceae.